GUAGCGCAAUGGAUAGCGCGUUGGACUUCUAAUCCAAAGGUCAUGGGCUCGCAUCCCACUUCCA
Molecule: non-coding RNA, 64 nt
Organism: Trichonephila inaurata madagascariensis
Lineage: Eukaryota; Metazoa; Arthropoda; Arachnida; Araneae; Nephilidae
Source: the annotation of a GenBank genome assembly